RNAcentral lists this ribosomal RNA (484 nucleotides) under uncultured bacterium. RNAcentral describes it as "partial 16S ribosomal RNA". It matches the Rfam family "Bacterial small subunit ribosomal RNA", at positions 30 to 507 of the family's 1533-position model. The record is from RNAcentral.
AUUGAACGCUGGCGGCAGGCCUAACACAUGCAAGUCGAGCGGAUGAAGGGAGCUUGCUCCUGGAUUCAGCGGCGGACGGGUGAGUAAUGCCUAGGAAUCUGCCUGGUAGUGGGGGAUAACGUCCGGAAACGGGCGCUAAUACCGCACACGUCCUGAGGGAGAAAGUGGGGGAUCUUCGGACCUCACGCUAUCAGAUGAGCCUAGGUCGGAUUAGCUAGUUGGUGGGGUAAAGGCCUACCAAGGCGACGAUCCGUAACUGGUCUGAGAGGAUGAUCAGUCACACUGGAACUGAGACACGGUCCAGACUCCUACGGGAGGCAGCAGUGGGGAAUAUUGGACAAUGGGCGAAGGCCUGAUCCAGCCAUGCCGCGUGUGUGAAGAAGGUCUUCGGAUUGUAAAGCACUUUAAGUUGGGAGGAAGGGCAGUAAGUUAAUACCUUGCUGUUUUGACGUUACCAACAGAAUAAGCACCGGCUAACUUCGUG